RNAcentral lists this transfer RNA (72 nucleotides) under Stegodyphus mimosarum. It matches the Rfam family "tRNA". From Rfam's summary of the family: Transfer RNA (tRNA) molecules are approximately 80 nucleotides in length. Their secondary structure includes four short double-helical elements and three loops (D, anti-codon, and T loops). Lineage: Eukaryota; Metazoa; Arthropoda; Arachnida; Araneae; Eresidae. The record is from Rfam by way of RNAcentral.
GCCUUUGUGGUGUAAUGGUUAGCACACUCGGCAUGUAUUCAAGAGGUCCAGGUUUGAUUCCCAGCGAAGGCA